Cygnus olor (mute swan) is the source of this 441-nucleotide long non-coding RNA. RefSeq lists it as uncharacterized. The transcript is spliced from 3 exons. The record is from RefSeq and is a predicted model, not a curated record. NCBI's taxonomy places the organism in Eukaryota, Metazoa, Chordata, Aves, Anseriformes, Anatidae.
ACCAGAAACACAAAUCCUUGUCACUGGUGGUAGACCUAGCUGUAAAACACUCUUCUGGCAGGAAACUAAUGUAUCCUAAUGAUGAUUUCCAGGAGAUUAAGCUUCCUUUCUGUCUGCUGUUAGACUGGGGGAAAGCAGGAACUGCCAUCUUCUCUGGAGAGCCAGAGGAGCAGAACCCAUUUUGGCCAUGCGCUGUCUGGAGGAUGCACAAUGCAGCUAGAGCAGUUACCAAGUGUGCAAAUAUUGGACAAAUUCCAACCUGCAGGUGCAUGAGGAUUGAUUUUUGACUGGAUACUUAGAGGGGAAAUAAAUGACACUUUUGUAACCCUACUGCUAUCUUUUUGGCUAAUAUUUUAAGUUUCUUAUCUUAAAUCUUGUGGGAUUUGGACAGGUUAAAGACAUUCAAAGGGAAAAUAGAAAUUUUUACCCAUAGUAGACAUU